This 85-nucleotide transfer RNA is filed under the name Ahamus yunnanensis. RNAcentral describes it as "tRNA-Val". The record is from RNAcentral. Lineage: Eukaryota; Metazoa; Arthropoda; Insecta; Lepidoptera; Hepialidae.
CAAAUUAAAGCUUUAAAAGUAUUUCAUUUACAUUGAAAAGAUUUUGUUAAAUUCAAAUAAUUUGAAAAAAAAAAAUUAAUUAAUA